This is a long non-coding RNA of Beta vulgaris subsp. vulgaris (sugar beet), 675 nucleotides long. RefSeq lists it as uncharacterized. The transcript has 2 exons. Lineage: Eukaryota; Viridiplantae; Streptophyta; Magnoliopsida; Caryophyllales; Amaranthaceae. The record is from RefSeq and is a predicted model, not a curated record.
CUUGCCAAUUAUUUCUACUUUUAGUGUGUGGUAUUCAUAUAUUAUUUAUCUUUAUACCCUUUUAUUGUUUUCAUAAUACAAAAAUACAAUUAAUUUAUACUUUAUUACUCUAUUUUUUAAUAAUUCCACAUAUUUCCUUAAUUUAUGUGCUAAAAAAAACGGAGGGUGUAGCUGGUAACCAAAAUCUUGAGGAAAAAUAUCAAACUUUGAGAAGAUUUUUCUUGGGUGACCUUAACUUUAACUUAUGUCGGUCAUUUUUUUUGGUUCAGAAGUUCCAUUAUAGCCACAUGUCGAAAAAUCUAAAAUGCAAUUAUUUGAUCUUAAGGCUGCUAGUGUCAAGUCUAGUCACUUAGUAACUUCUAGGCACCAAGACAAGUCCGUAGGGUUCCACCUUCGGGCGUAUAUCCUUUUAAAUUGAGAACAUAUUCUCCUAUAAAUAGCCUUUCAUUUGUGUUAGUUUGCAUAACAAAAUUACAUUAGUAUUUUAAUUAGUUAAAGUUCAUUGCGCAUAAUAUGAAACAGUCAAUGAAGCCCGUUGUUGCUUUUUUCCUUGUGUUCUUGAUUGUCCUGACAACAGAUGUUGGUACAAGAGUAGCUGAAGCAAGGACAUGUAUGACUCCAAGUCACCAGUUCAGGGGAAUAUGCGUUAGUAGUAGAAAUUGUGAAUCUGCUUGC